This 205-nucleotide long non-coding RNA is filed under the name Capsicum annuum. RNAcentral describes it as "long non-coding RNA (CANN_LNC020951)". The record is from RNAcentral. Lineage: Eukaryota; Viridiplantae; Streptophyta; Magnoliopsida; Solanales; Solanaceae.
UUUUGAAAUCCAUUAAAAUAAUUCGUAAGCAAAUGAUAAAUUCUUGACUUAACUAAUUACUAUUUUUAUUAAGGCGCAACAAAUAAUAACAACUAUUCUUCCAACAUAAAAUAAACAACUUUACAUGCUAAAAAAAAUAUAUCUACAAACAAUAAGUUUAAACAAGACAUGGGUAUUGUUUUUCAAGUAAAGAUCUAAACUUUAU